GGUGAAGAAGCUCAGUGGUAGAGCACUUGCUUGCCAAGUCUGAGGCCCUGAGUGUGAUCCUCAGCACCA
Molecule: transfer RNA, 69 nt
Filed under: Neotoma lepida (desert woodrat)
Lineage: Eukaryota; Metazoa; Chordata; Mammalia; Rodentia; Cricetidae
Rfam family: tRNA
About the family: Transfer RNA (tRNA) molecules are approximately 80 nucleotides in length. Their secondary structure includes four short double-helical elements and three loops (D, anti-codon, and T loops).
Source: Rfam by way of RNAcentral